UAAUUUGUGCUAUAUUAUCUGCCAUAUGGCCUUAACAACGUUAAAUCACUCACAUAUUUACCCCUUUUUAUUGCCACGUGGCUUUAAUGGCUUCUCUCGCACUUAUCAUUCUCUUUUCCUUUCCCCCAUUCUCAUCCACAUCAUUCAUGCCUUCAAUCUCCUCCUACUCCCUAUCGUCAAAGAUUCUGUCACUCACCAGUUCACGAUCCUAAUCUAGCACCGUUUCCAACCCAUGAAGCUCGUCGUCGAUUUCGGCAACCCUUCUCUUUGGGUCCACUGCUCACCACCUCACCACUUUAAUCUCCUUGCCCGCCGCUCAA
Molecule: long non-coding RNA, 320 nt
Filed under: Linum usitatissimum (flax)
Lineage: Eukaryota; Viridiplantae; Streptophyta; Magnoliopsida; Malpighiales; Linaceae
Description: long non-coding RNA (LUSI_LNC005342)
Source: RNAcentral